GUCUAACCUGCCCACUGAAAUUAUUUAAAUGGCCGCAGUAUUUUAACUGUGCAAAGGUAGCWUWAUCAUUAGUCUUUUAAUUGAAGGCUGGUAUGAAUGGUUGGACGAGGUAUAAGCUGUUUCAUAUAAAUUUAUAGUAGAAUUUUAUUUUUUAGUUAAAAAGCUAAAAUUUAAUUAAAAGACGAGAAGACCCUAUAAAUCUUUAUAUUUUGUACUAUUUAAAUUUUUUAGAUUUGUUUUAUUUUUAUAGUUUAAAGUAUUUUGUUGGGGUGAUAUUAAAAUUUAUUGAACUUUUAAUUAUUUUAAAUCAUUAAUUUAUGAAUUAUUGAUCCAUUAAUAGUGAUUAWAAGAUUAAGUUACUUUAGGGAUAACAGCGUAAUUUUUUUGGAGAGGUCAUAUCGAUAAAAAAGU
This 411-nucleotide ribosomal RNA is filed under the name Bactrocera morobiensis. Its description in RNAcentral is "partial large subunit ribosomal RNA". Lineage: Eukaryota; Metazoa; Arthropoda; Insecta; Diptera; Tephritidae. The record is from RNAcentral.